RNAcentral lists this unclassified non-coding RNA (239 nucleotides) under plant metagenome. Its description in RNAcentral is "partial contains small subunit ribosomal RNA, internal transcribed spacer 1, and 5.8S ribosomal RNA". The record is from RNAcentral.
UCUCCGUUGGUGAACCAGCGGAGGGAUCAUUACCGAGUCUUACAACUCCCAAACCCCUGUGAACUUAUACCUUUACCGUUGCUUCGGCGGGUUAACGCCCCGGAAGGCCCUGGAAAGGCCGCCGGAACCAGGCGCCCGCCCGGGGACCCAAACCCUUGUAUGAUUUUCGUCAAUGGCAUGUCAGAGUGGAAUCAUAAACAAAUGAAUCAAAACUUUCAACAACGGAUCUCUUGGUUCUG